This 460-nucleotide ribosomal RNA is filed under the name uncultured bacterium. RNAcentral's name for it is "partial 16S ribosomal RNA". It matches the Rfam family "Bacterial small subunit ribosomal RNA", at positions 338 to 795 of the family's 1533-position model. The record is from RNAcentral.
CCUACGGGGGGCAGCAGUGAGGAAUAUUGGUCAAUGGGCGCGAGCCUGAACCAGCCAAGUCGCGUGCAGGAUGACUGCCCUACGGGUUGUAAACUUCUUUUAUACAAGAAUAAACUGAGGUACGCGUGCCUUUUUGUAUGUAUCUUAUGAAUAAGGAUCGGCUAACUCCGUGCCAGCAGCCGCGGUAAUACGGAGGAUUCGAGCGUUAUCCGGAUUUAUUGGGUUUAAAGGGAGCGUAGAUGGGUUGUUAAGUUAGUUGUGAAAGUUUGCGGCUCAACCUUCAAAUUGCAAUUGAUACUGGUAGGCUAGAGAACAGUUGCGGUAGGCGGAAGUCGUGGUGUAGCGGUGAAAUGCUUAGAUAUCACACAGAACACCGAUUGCGAAGGCAGCCUACUAAGCUACCACUGACGUUGAGGCACGAAAGUGUGGGGAUCAAACAGGAUUAGAUACCCGAGUAGUC